CAGUCCUCAUUUCUCCAUUAUAGUUCUUAGAUCUCCCUCCUUUGCCGUUUUCUCUUCUCCCUCCCCUGCCCUAAUCCUCCUCCUAGCGAAAUUAGUGUCGUGCCCUAACUUCUUCAAAAGCGCCGCCGCGACUUCUCCUUCCGCAACAGAUUCCUCCUCCCAGCAAGCCUCGUCUUCCUCCUCCUAGCAUUUUCGAAGAGCAAGGAGCAGUGACUUUGAGUACUCUUUGAGGUGAAGAAAGUAUAAUGGAAGAAGGAAAAUUUGAUUUGAAUGAGAUGAAGGAUAACACCGACCAUGCGGAUCAAGACCCAUCUCCAUCUAUUGUCGAAGAAGUCAAGCUACUUGAGAUCAUGCCUUCUCUAAAGACUUUUGGAAGAACAUGGAUCAUUCUUUGCCUCUGUUACAUUGGACGAUAUAUCUGAAGUUGCAGCUUCUGAAGUUGCUGGUUUGGAAGAAUAUGGAAUUUUGUUAAGUUGCUAGUUCUAAAGUUGAAAUGGACUUUUGGAAGGAGAUGAAAUUUCUAUUAGCACUAUUAAAUUGUUAUUAGGAAUGUUAUUGAAUUUGUAUAUCCUAUAUUAGCUGGGAGUUUUGUAGACUUAUAUGAAUCAAGAAUCAAUUGUUGUUGAC
Zingiber officinale is the source of this 627-nucleotide long non-coding RNA. RefSeq lists it as uncharacterized. The record is from RefSeq and is a predicted model, not a curated record. The transcript has 3 exons. Lineage: Eukaryota; Viridiplantae; Streptophyta; Magnoliopsida; Zingiberales; Zingiberaceae.